ACGCACGCUGGCGGCGUGCUUCACCCCUGCAAGUCGAACGGAAAGGCCCUGCUUGCAGGGUACUCGAGUGGCGAACGGGUGAGUAACACGUGGGUGAUCUGCCCUGCACUUCGGGAUAAGCCUGGGAAACUGGGUCUAAUACCGGAUAGGAGCCAUUUUUAGUGUGAUGGUUGGAAAGUUUUUUCGGUGUAGGAUGAGCUCGCGGCCUAUCAGCUUGUUGGUGGGGUAAUGGCCUACCAAGGCGGCGACGGGUAGCCGGCCUGAGAGGGUGGACGGCCACAUUGGGACUGAGAUACGGCCCAGACUCCUACGGGAGGCAGCAGUGGGGAAUAUUGCACAAUGGGCGCAAGCCUGAUGCAGCGACGCCGCGGGGGGGAUGACGGCCUUCGGGUUGUAAACUCCUUUCGCUAGGGACGAAGCUUUUUGUGACGGUACCUAGAUAAGAAGCACCGGCUAACUACGUG
RNAcentral lists this ribosomal RNA (464 nucleotides) under uncultured bacterium. RNAcentral describes it as "partial 16S ribosomal RNA". It matches the Rfam family "Bacterial small subunit ribosomal RNA", at positions 29 to 507 of the family's 1533-position model. The record is from RNAcentral.